Molecule: transfer RNA, 75 nt
Filed under: Candidatus Woesebacteria bacterium
Lineage: Bacteria; Candidatus Woeseibacteriota
Description: tRNA-Glu
Rfam family: tRNA
About the family: Transfer RNA (tRNA) molecules are approximately 80 nucleotides in length.
Source: RNAcentral
GGCGCCAUCGUCUAUCGGCUAGGACACAGGGUUUUCAUCCCUGUAAGCAGGGUUCGAUUCCCUGUGGCGUCACCA